RNAcentral lists this ribosomal RNA (500 nucleotides) under uncultured bacterium. Its description in RNAcentral is "partial 16S ribosomal RNA". It matches the Rfam family "Bacterial small subunit ribosomal RNA", at positions 28 to 507 of the family's 1533-position model. The record is from RNAcentral.
GACGAACGCUGGCGGCGUGCUUAACACAUGCAAGUCGAACGGGUCUGCCCUGUUUUUUGCGGGGUGGGUCAGUGGCGAACGGGUGAGUAACACGUGAGUAACCUGCCCCUCACUUCUGGAUAACCGCUUGAAAGGGUGGCUAAUACGGGGUGUUCUGGCUGUGCCGCAUGGUGUGGCUGGGAAAGAUUCACUUUUGUGGUGUUUUGGCGGGGGAUGGGCUCGCGGCCUAUCAGCUUGUUGGGGGGGUGAUGGCCUGCCAAGGCUUUGACGGGUAGCCGGCCUGAGAGGGUGGGCGGUCACACGGGGACUGAGAUACGGCCCAGACUCCUGCGGGAGGCAGCAGUGGGGGGUAUUGCACAAUGGGCGGAAGCCUGAUGCAGCGACGUCGCGUGAGGGAUGGAGGCCUUCGGGUUGUGAACCUCUUUCGCCGGUGAAGAAGGUCCUGCUCUUUGUGGUGGGGUUGACGGUAGCCGGGUUAUGAAGCGCCGGCUAACUACGUG